ACCCAGACUCCUACGGGAGGCAGCAGUGGGGGAUAUUGCACAAUGGGGGAAACCCUGAUGCAGCGACGCCGCGUGAGUGAAGAAGUAUUUCGGUAUGUAAAGCUCUAUCAGCAGGGACGAAAAUGACGGUACCUGAGUAAGAAGCCCCGGCUAACUACGUGCCAGCAGCCGCGGUAAUACGUAGGGGGCAAGCGUUAUCCGGAUUUACUGGGUGUAAAGGGAGCGUAGACGGUGAGACAAGUCUGAAGUGAAAGCCCGGGGCUCAACCCCGGGACUGCUUUGGAAACUGCCUGACUGGAGUGCUGGAGAGGUAAGCGGAAUUCCUAGUGUAGCGGUGAAAUGCGUAGAUAUUAGGAGGAACACCAGUGGCGAAGGCGGCUUACUGGACUGUAACUGACGUUGAGGCUCGAAAGCGUGGGGAGCAAACAGGAUUAGAUACCCCCGUAC
RNAcentral lists this ribosomal RNA (447 nucleotides) under uncultured bacterium. Its description in RNAcentral is "bacterial SSU rRNA". It matches the Rfam family "Bacterial small subunit ribosomal RNA", at positions 329 to 793 of the family's 1533-position model. The record is from RNAcentral.